CUCAAUGUGUCUUUGAGACCCAUCUGCUGUGACAGUCUUCCUUCCUAGUCAUGGAAGAGCAUAUUCUUGUUUAUUGGCAACACUGUCACCAUUUCAUUGGUAUCAGAUUCUGACUGACACAAGUAACAUUC
Nannospalax galili (Upper Galilee mountains blind mole rat) is the source of this 131-nucleotide small nucleolar RNA. Lineage: Eukaryota; Metazoa; Chordata; Mammalia; Rodentia; Spalacidae. The record is from Ensembl.